Dipodomys ordii (Ord's kangaroo rat) is the source of this 70-nucleotide non-coding RNA. Lineage: Eukaryota; Metazoa; Chordata; Mammalia; Rodentia; Heteromyidae. The record is from Rfam.
GGGAAGGUAGCUCAGUGGUAGAGUGCUUGCUUUGCAUGCAUGAAGCCCUGGGUUCAAUUCCUCAGCACCA